AACGAACGCUGGCGGCAUGCCUAACACAUGCAAGUCGAACGAGACCUUCGGGUCUAGUGGCGCACGGGUGCGUAACGCGUGGGAACCUGCCCUUAGGUUCGGAAUAACUCCCCGAAAGGGGUGCUAAUACCGGAUAAUGUCUUCGGACCAAAGAUUUAUCGCCUUUGGAUGGGCCCGCGUUGGAUUAGCUAGUUGGUAGGGUAAAAGCCUACCAAGGCGACGAUCCAUAGCUGGUCUGAGAGGAUGAUCAGCCACACUGGGACUGAGACACGGCCCAGACUCCUCGGGGAGGCAGCGGUGGGGAAUAUUGGACAAUGGGCGAAAGCCUGAUCCAGCAAUGCCGGGGGGGGGAUGAAGGCCUUGGGUUUUUAAAGCUCUUUUCCCCGGGAUGAAAAUGACGGUACCGGGAAAAAAAGCCCCGGCAAACUCCGG
Molecule: ribosomal RNA, 432 nt
Filed under: uncultured bacterium
Lineage: Bacteria
Description: partial 16S ribosomal RNA
Rfam family: Bacterial small subunit ribosomal RNA
Source: RNAcentral